Molecule: ribosomal RNA, 797 nt
Filed under: uncultured Glomeromycotina
Lineage: Eukaryota; Fungi; Glomeromycota
Description: SSU rRNA
Rfam family: Eukaryotic small subunit ribosomal RNA
Source: RNAcentral
AUCAACUUUCGAUGGUAGGAUAGAGGCCUACCAUGGUGGUAACGGGUAACGGGGUGUUAGGGCACGACACCGGAGAGGGAGCCUGAGAAACGGCUACCACAUCCAAGGAUGGCAGCAGGCGCGCAAAUUACCCAAUCCCGACACGGGGAGGUAGUGACAAUAAAUAACAAUACGGGGUCCUUUCGGGUUUCGUAAUUGGAAUGAGUACAAUUUAAAUCUCUUAACGAGGAACAAUUGGAGGGCAAGUCUGGUGCCAGCAGCCGCGGUAAUUCCAGCUCCAAUAGCGUAUAUUAAAGUUGUUGCAGUUAAAAAGCUCGUAGUUGAAUUUCGGGAUCAGUACGCUGGUCGUGCCUUCGGUAUGUACUGGUGUUACUGGUUCCUACCUUCUGACGAACCGUCAUGUCAUUAAUUUGGUGUGGCGGGAAAUCAGGACUGUUACUUUGAAAAAAUUAGAGUGUUUAAAGCAGGCUCGCGCUUGAAUACAUUAGCAUGGAAUAAUGAAAUAGGACGUUCGAUCCUAUUUUGUUGGUUUCUAGGAUUGACGUAAUGAUUAAUAGGGAUAGUUGGGGGCAUUAGUAUUCAAUUGUCAGAGGUGAAAUUCUUGGAUUUAUUGAAGACUAACUACUGCGAAAGCAUUUGCCAAGGAUGUUUUCAUUAAUCAAGAACGAAAGUUAGGGGAUCGAAGACGAUCAGAUACCGUCGUAGUCUUAACCAUAAACUAUGCCGACUAGGGAUCGGACGAUGUUAUUUUUAAUGACUCAUUCGGCGCCUUACGGGAAACCAAAGUGUUUGGGUUC